CGGCAGAGCUCAAAUUUGAAAGCUGGCCCCUUCGGGGUCCGCGUUGUAAUUUGCAGAGGAUGCUUCGGGUGCGGCCCCUGUCUAAGUGCCCUGGAACGGGCCGUCAGAGAGGGUGAGAAUCCCGUCUUGGGCAGGGUGCCCGUGCCCGUGUGAAGCUCCUUCGACGAGUCGAGUUGUUUGGGAAUGCAGCUCUAAAUGGGUGGUAAAUUUCAUCUAAAGCUAAAUACCGGCCGGAGACCGAUAGCGCACAAGUAGAGUGAUCGAAAGAUGAAAAGCACUUUGAAAAGAGAGUUAAACAGCACGUGAAAUUGUUGAAAGGGAAGCGCUUGCGACCAGACUCGGCCCCGGGGUUCAGCCAGCACUCGUGCUGGUGUACUUCCCCGGGGGCGGGCCAGCGUCGGUUUGGGCGGCCGGUCAAAGGCCCCAGGAAUGUAUCGCCCUCCGGGGUUGUCUUAUAGCCUGGGGUGCAAUGCGGCCAGCCCGGACCGAGGAACGCGCUUCGGCACGGACGCUGGCGUAAUGGUCGCAAACGACCCGUCUUGAAACACGGACC
Molecule: ribosomal RNA, 553 nt
Filed under: Aspergillus nidulans
Lineage: Eukaryota; Fungi; Ascomycota; Eurotiomycetes; Eurotiales; Aspergillaceae
Description: eukaryotic LSU rRNA
Rfam family: Eukaryotic large subunit ribosomal RNA
Source: RNAcentral